UAGCUCAGCGGCAUAAGCGCCUGCCUUGCAAGCAGGCAGUCGUGAGUUCGAUCCCCAC
Molecule: transfer RNA, 58 nt
Filed under: Cavia porcellus (domestic guinea pig)
Lineage: Eukaryota; Metazoa; Chordata; Mammalia; Rodentia; Caviidae
Rfam family: tRNA
About the family: Transfer RNA (tRNA) molecules are approximately 80 nucleotides in length. Their secondary structure includes four short double-helical elements and three loops (D, anti-codon, and T loops).
Source: Rfam by way of RNAcentral